Molecule: ribosomal RNA, 439 nt
Filed under: uncultured bacterium
Lineage: Bacteria
Description: partial 16S ribosomal RNA
Rfam family: Bacterial small subunit ribosomal RNA
Source: RNAcentral
CCUACGGGUGGCAGCAGUGGGGGAUAUUGCACAAUGGAGGAAACUCUGAUGCAGCGACGCCGCGUGAGGGAAGACGGUCUUCGGAUUGUAAACCUCUGUCUUUGGGGAAGAAAAUGACGGUACCCAAAGAGGAAGCUCCGGCUAACUACGUGCCAGCAGCCGUGGUAAUACGCAGGGAGCGAGGGUUGUCCGGAGUUACCGGGUGUAAGGGGAGCGUAGGCGGGCGAGAAAGUUGAAUGUUAAAUCUACCGGCUUAACUGGUAGCUGCGUUCAAAACUGCUUGUCUUGAGUGAAGUAGAGGCAGGCGGAAUUCCUAGUGUAGCGGUGAAAUGCGUAGAUAUUAGGAAGAACACCGAUGGCGAAGGCAGCCUGUUGGGCUUUAACUGACGCUGAGGCUCGAAAGCGUGGGGAGCAAACAGGAUUAGAUACCCGGGUAGUC